CACUGAGUGGCACAGUGAGUAGUGCUGCUGUCUCAUAGUACCUCAGUAGUGUGAGAGGACAUGGGUUCAAUUCCCCACUCAGUCU
Molecule: transfer RNA, 85 nt
Filed under: Scleropages formosus (Asian bonytongue)
Lineage: Eukaryota; Metazoa; Chordata; Actinopteri; Osteoglossiformes; Osteoglossidae
Description: tRNA-Met
Source: RNAcentral